GUGCCUUCAUAUUUUGUUUUUAACAUACUUUAGGCUUAGGACCAUAAUUACUUUUAUAGCCCUUCUGAGCCAAUCUGAAUUGUGGUUGUAAGAAAUGUACUAAAUCAUUUCCACAGCAUUCCUUUUUUAAAAGACUUUUAUUUUUCUAGAGCAAUUUUAGGUUCACCGUAAAAUUGACAAAAAGGUUCAGAGACUUCCCAUAUCCCACCCACACACCUCCCUAUUAGCAACCUCCACCAUAGUGGUGCAUUUGUUAUAGUCAGUGAACCUGCAGAGACACAUCAUUGCUCAAAGACUAUAGUUUAUGUUAGGAUUCACUCUUGGUGUUGCACAUUGAAUGGGACUGAACAAAUCUAUAAUGACAUGUAUCCACUGUACUUUUUAAAAUUAAUGUAUUUACUUAUUCAUUCAUUCUGUGGUGCAGGGGAUUGAAUCCAGGCCCUUGCACAUGCUAGGCAAGUAUUCUACCACAUAGCUGCAAUCUUAGCCACCAUUUUUUUAAAUUUAUUUUUUAUUGUAUGUAUUUAAGGUGUACAACUUGAUGUUUUUAUUGUGUCCAUCAUUAUAGUAUCAUGCAAAGUAUUAUCACUAAUCUAAAAAUCCUCUGUGCUCUGCCUAUUCAUCCCUCCCUCUAAUCCCUGGUACCCUACUGAUGUGUGAACUGCCACCAUGGUUUUUACCAUAGCACCCUUGAAGGAGGUUUGAGCGUUUGGCCUGAGAUUUUUAAAUGCUUACGAAAUACAUGGUUGGGGCUGGGGUUGGGGCUCAGUGGUAGAGCGCUUGCCUAGCACAUGUGAGGCUCUGGGUUCAAUCCUCAGUACCACAUAAAAAUGAAAUAAAGAUAAUGUGUCCACCUACAACUAAAAAAUAAAGAUUUUUUUUUUAAAAAAAGAAAUACAUGGUUAAAAUAUAUUCCCUUUGUAUGUGAGUCUCCCAUCACCUGAAAGUGACUAACCACAAAAUAUUUACUAAAAGGCCAUGUUUGUGACUGCUUGCCAUUAACUAGACAGAUAACCAAUGAAGAAAUGACAACUUCCUGGCCACAUGGCUUUCAUUUCCUGUCAUGAAAUGUGUGUUUGGGCUCACAGGGUUCUCUGGUUUUAGUUGCAAAAGACACUCUGCUGAGAGACAGGAGAAGAACCCUAGACUUGCCUGCCAUCGUCUGAGGGUUCCCACAGCCUCUUGGAGACUUACAAGAAAGAUAAAGUAAAAUGAUUUAGUUGGGAAAAUCAGAUGCAUGCAAAUCCAGUUGCCAAGGAAGGACUGAGUCGUGGGUUGGGAUGGGCCCACUCAGGAAGGCAGUCUGUUUUCCUGGUAGACCUUAGAGCAGCCCCAGUGUCCGCCAGAGUCAGCCUCAAUCUGCUGUGUUUCUUACUGUGUUCCCAGGUAGAUAAGAAAGCCAGAAAGUAGACAGCUAGUCCAUACUCGCCUAGGUGAAGCUUCUUAGGUUGGAACCUUUGGCAAAGCCCAGGGCAACUCAGAAGUCAGUGUAGAUCCCAGAUAUGGAAAAGUCAGAACUAGACUCUGAUGAUUUACAGUCCUGUUUGCAUCAAAACAAAAAGACCUGAAUACUUUUGUGCUUCCUUCAAACUCCCAAAUGUACGGUAUGAGUGUCCACUUCUUUCUCCUCCCUCUCAUUACAUAGAAUUUGGAAAAAGUGUCUGCUGGCCCCCAGGGAAUGGCAGAUGGCUGUCUUUGCUCUCUGUAGCUCCAAGCCAUGCGGUCAUUGCCAGGGCCAAUUGUAGAGGUCAGGGACAGCUUCGCUGGGUCACUCAUCUCCACAGUAAGGCAGUUCUGUUUUCCUCUAAUAGAUAGUUUGACAAAGGGGCUUUGAAAAAAUUAACUGGAGUAUCUAAUCCCUAUUGUUUUAUCUCUAGAUUUGGAUAAAAGCAGUGAAUGUAAUUAUUAAUUUUGGUUCCAAAAACUAUAUAGCACUAACAGAUGUACUUUGAAAUAUUUUUAAUAUAUUAAAAACCGAAGCUAAAUGUAGUGACACAUGCCUGUAAUCCCAGCUACUUGAUGCCAUCCUGGGCAACUUAGCGAGAACCUAUAGCAAAACAAAAUUUUUUAUAAAGGGCUGAGAUGUGUGUAGCCCAGUAUGGUAGAGCACUUGUCUAGCAUGUGCAAGGCCCUGGGUUCAAAGAACUGAAAUAAAAGAAACAAAAGCAAACAAAAAAACUAGGACAUCUUUUAUAAUCACACAGAAAGUUUGGUGACUAGCCAAGUGUUGAGUACAGCUGGGACACCAGCUCUGGGGUUUGGCAUCUGCCAUUGUAUAUUUCCUGGCUGCUCCUGGCCUCUGAUCCAAUCCCAGGUAAGCCAUAGGCACAGCCAAACUCAGCAAGAGCUGCUGUGGUGCGGCUUCUGCCUUUAGAGAUGUAUUUUAAAGAUUACUUUCUAGGCCAAAAGUGAGAACCUUAAAUAUUUUGACCUAAGGUUGUUAUAACCCUUUCAAGAUGAAAACCAAAUCAAAUAAAUUACAAAAUUCAAAACAGAAUGUGUGAAACUGAAUGAGGUUUGGGUUUUUCAACUGAAAACAUUGCAAAGCCAGCUUGUAGAAAGAUUCUUCUAAACUAGACACCCUAUGUCAGUGGGUGGCAGUGUUUUAAAUAGCUUGUGCUCUUUUGAAGUCUUUUGAAGCAAUGACAUGUAAGCAUUGCUACCGCAAACACCACCACAACCUUCAGAAUUGUCCUUCACUCAUGAUCGAUGUCUUAACUCCAAGACGUGUCAGGCAGGUAGUUUUAGACACACGAACAGAAUAAAAGUGGUGGGGACCAAGUUUAGCAGCUCCCCAGGUCUGGAUGUGUUGCUUGUAGCGUCCUUUGGUGUCACUUGCAUAAUGGCUGAAUGCCUACCUGUUCUGUUGGAAAUACCGUCACAACUUGUCUGAGUUUGGGAAACAUAAAAUUCAUCCAAAGAGCUCUGUUGUUGCCACAUUAAUUAUCCCACACCAUCUGGAGUUUUUGUUUUAAAUAACCUAUCAUGUGGUAGAUCUAUAUAUGCUG
RNAcentral lists this long non-coding RNA (3008 nucleotides) under Marmota monax (woodchuck). The record is from RNAcentral. Lineage: Eukaryota; Metazoa; Chordata; Mammalia; Rodentia; Sciuridae.